AGGGUGAAUACAGGGUGAAUACAGGAUGAAUACAGGGUGAAUACAGGAUAAAUACAGGAUGAAUACAGGAUGAAUACAGGAUGAAUACAGGAUGAAUACAGGGUGAAUACAGGAUAAAUACAGGAUGAGGGUGAAUACAGGGUGAAUACAGGAUGAAUACAGGAUGAAUGCAGGAUGAAUACAGGGUGAAUACAAGAUAAAUACAGGGUGAGUACAGGAUGAAAACAGGAUGAAUACAGGAUGAGGGUGAAUACAGUAUGAAUACAGGGAAGAUACAGGAUGAAUACAGGAUGAAUACAGGGGGAAUACAGGGUGAAUACAGGAUGAAUACAGGGUGAAUACAAGAUAAAUACAGGAUGAAUACAGGAUGAAUACAGGAUGAAUACAGGAUGAAUACAGG
Long non-coding RNA from Oncorhynchus tshawytscha (Chinook salmon), 400 nucleotides. The record is from Ensembl. Lineage: Eukaryota; Metazoa; Chordata; Actinopteri; Salmoniformes; Salmonidae.